This 253-nucleotide ribosomal RNA is filed under the name uncultured bacterium. Its description in RNAcentral is "partial 16S ribosomal RNA". It matches the Rfam family "Bacterial small subunit ribosomal RNA", at positions 524 to 776 of the family's 1533-position model. The record is from RNAcentral.
UACGAAGGGUGCUAGCGUUGUUCGGAAUCACUGGGCGUAAAGCGCGCGCAGGCGGUUUUGUAAGCCAGAUGUGAAAUCCCCGGGCUUAACCUGGGAAUGGCAUUUGGGACUGCAAGGCUGGAGUGUGGCAGAGGAGACUGGAAUUCCUGGUGUAGCAGUGAAAUGCGUAGAUAUCAGGAGGAAUACCGAUGGCGAAGGCAGGUCUCUGGGCUGACACUGACGCUCAUGCACGAAAGCGUGGGGAGCAAACAGG